CCUAGCUACAGAUUUUUAUAUACGUUUGGAAUUAUUAGGUAUUGAACAAUGCUCUGAUUUAAAAUAGCCAAAUCUGACUGCGACACUGAAAUAAGCUUAGUCCACCACAUCUCCACGUCAUGGUACACGUACGUUUCGUUUCGAAAUUGUAAUAGUCGGAACGCAGAAUUAAAAGUCAGUGGAACUUAGCCAUUCUCAUGUUCGUUUUGUGAAGUAACCUUUGCAUUGCCGAAAAAGAAAAUAUAAAUGUAUAAAGUAUUGCCAGUAAUAUUAAAUGGCACAUUUUUUAAGCCGGACUGCAAGUGCGUGUUGUGUCUCAAUAAAACAAUCAAAUUUGAUGAUAAAUCUGCACAAACAUAUUUGAGAAUGAAAAUAUGACUAGGGGGGGUUCAUCCAAGCAGUUACACGGAGUAAGAGGCCAUGAAAGCUAAGAAAACUGAAACUAAUAAGGAACUUUCUAAGGAAAAUUCAAAAUCGUUUUUCGGUUCCUUGAGUUCAGCCCAGAUCAAUCAGAAAGUGUGCCACUACAUCGUGGGGGAGAUUUUACCAAAAUUUCACGUUGAGCAUUACACAAAUUUAACAGCUUAACAUAAAUAUAAACGCAUUUUGGAUGUAUUCCUAAAAUGCAAUGAAAUUCUGCCCAGCUCAGCGCGAGUUGAAAUAUUUUUUUAAUUGUGAACCCCAAUACGAAACAAGCUGGGGGACGAGUUUUUCGAAAAAUUAGUUAUGUUAAAAAAAGACAACAUUUAAAUUUUGAUUGUUAUAUGAAAAUGAAAAGAUAAUGUUAUUUUUAAGAGGACUAAAACCUGAAACCUAGUCUUAUUUUAAGUUGAAUUGAUUCGCCAAUGUAAUAAAUCAAACAAACAAAUAAAUAAAACAAAAAAAUCAUAAAAAUUAAAAACACUCGGAAAAUGAAGUAUCUUUACCGUACCUAGGUAUUUAUUUUUGCCAAAGAGCUUU
This is a long non-coding RNA of Drosophila rhopaloa, 960 nucleotides long. RefSeq lists it as uncharacterized. The record is from RefSeq and is a predicted model, not a curated record. Lineage: Eukaryota; Metazoa; Arthropoda; Insecta; Diptera; Drosophilidae. The transcript is spliced from 3 exons.